GCUUCCCUCUUUCUUCGUGCCUAAUACAUGCAAGUCGAGCGAACAGACGAGGAGCUUGCUCCUCUGACGUUAGCGGCGGACGGGUGAGUAACACGUGGAUAACCUACCUAUAAGACUGGGAUAACUUCGGGAAACCGGAGCUAAUACCGGAUAAUAUAUUGAACCGCAUGGUUCAAUAGUGAAAGACGGUUUUGCUGUCACUUAUAGAUGGAUCCGCGCCGCAUUAGCUAGUUGGUAAGGUAACGGCUUACCAAGGCGACGAUGCGUAGCCGACCUGAGAGGGUGAUCGGCCACACUGGAACUGAGACACGGUCCAGACUCCUACGGGAGGCAGCAGUAGGGAAUCUUCCGCAAUGGGCGAAAGCCUGACGGAGCAACGCCGCGUGAGUGAUGAAGGUCUUCGGAUCGUAAAACUCUGUUAUUAGGGAAGAACAAAUGUGUAAGUAACUAUGCACGUCUUGACGGUACCUAAUCAGAAAGCCACGGCUAACUACGUG
This 497-nucleotide ribosomal RNA is filed under the name uncultured bacterium. RNAcentral describes it as "partial 16S ribosomal RNA". It matches the Rfam family "Bacterial small subunit ribosomal RNA", at positions 36 to 507 of the family's 1533-position model. The record is from RNAcentral.